This 336-nucleotide unclassified non-coding RNA is filed under the name soil metagenome. RNAcentral's name for it is "partial contains 5.8S ribosomal RNA, internal transcribed spacer 2, and large subunit ribosomal RNA". The stretch from base 1 to 120 matches the Rfam family "5.8S ribosomal RNA", at positions 35 to 154 of the family's 154-position model. The record is from RNAcentral.
GAUGAAGAACGUAGCGAAAUGCGAUAAGUAAUGUGAAUUGCAGAAUUCAGUGAAUCAUCGAAUCUUUGAACGCACAUUGCGCCCGCCAGUAUUCUGGCGGGCAUGCCUGUUCGAGCGUCAUUUCAACCAUCAAGCCCCCGGCUUGUGUUGGGGACCUGCGGCUGCCGCAGGCCCUGAAAAGCAGUGGCGGGCUCGCUGUCACACCGAGCGUAGUAGCAUACAUCUCGCUCUGGGCGUGCUGCGGGUUCCGGCCGUUAAACCACCUUCAUAACCCAAGGUUGACCUCGGAUCAGGUAGGAUGACCCGCUGAACUUAAGCAUAUCAAUAAGCGGAGGA